Molecule: long non-coding RNA, 226 nt
Filed under: Elaeis guineensis (African oil palm)
Lineage: Eukaryota; Viridiplantae; Streptophyta; Magnoliopsida; Arecales; Arecaceae
Description: long non-coding RNA (EGUI_LNC051982)
Source: RNAcentral
UCACUAAGUUAAAUGCAACUUCGGACAUGGAGGCUACUUCUGCAAGCUUCAUCAUCUAAUAAUUCAACAAAGCAUAUUUACAAUCAAUAGAAUGUCACAUUUGUAAUAGGAUUUUAUGAUAUUUAACAAGAUUUCAUAAAAAUAAAUUAAAAUAUCUUAAUCUGCAUAAUGUGAGUGCAUACUGUGAUUUUUUGGUACUUUUAUCAGAAAAUUGAAUAUUACAAUC